Molecule: small nucleolar RNA, 130 nt
Filed under: Acanthochromis polyacanthus (spiny chromis)
Lineage: Eukaryota; Metazoa; Chordata; Actinopteri; Pomacentridae
Description: Small nucleolar RNA SNORA71 (ENSAPOG00000005708.1)
Rfam family: Small nucleolar RNA SNORA71
About the family: The members of this family belong to the H/ACA class of snoRNAs which bind a number of proteins (including dyskerin, Gar1p and Nop10p) to form snoRNP complexes. This class of snoRNAs are thought to guide the sites of modification of uridines to pseudouridines by forming direct base pairing interactions with substrate RNAs.
Source: Rfam by way of RNAcentral
CCCUGUAUCGAAAGGUGGUCAAGGCGUCUGGUUGCCUGGUCAUUUAAUAAAUACAGGAACAUGAAGCUGUGAGCCUUUCCCUGUGUUUGAAGGAUCCUCCGUUCCUUUUGAACCCUGGCGCUCUCAGACA